Non-coding RNA from Mycena epipterygia, 91 nucleotides. NCBI's taxonomy places the organism in Eukaryota, Fungi, Basidiomycota, Agaricomycetes, Agaricales, Mycenaceae. The record is from the annotation of a GenBank genome assembly.
UCGGACAUGGUGUAGGGAACACAGCCUCUUCUUAUGAUCUGGCAUACCUGAAGAUGUGAGACAGCUCGGGGUUCGACUCCCCGUGUCGGAA